GUCUAUUUGAAGAUAUAAAAAGUCUAGCCUGCCCACUGAUAAAAUUUAAAGGGCCGCGGUAACCUGACCGUGCAAAGGUAGCAUAAUCGUUAGUUUUUUAAUUGGAAUCUUGUAUGAAUGGUUGAACAAAAGAAUUUCUGUCUCUAUAUUUUUUUUGAAUUUAACUUUUAAGUGAAAAGGCUUAAAUGUGUUUAAAAGACGAUAAGACCCUAUAAAGCUUAAUAAAUAUUGUUAUUUAAUAUGAAUUUCUUUAUAAUAAUUAACUAAUUAAGAUUUAUUUUGUUGGGGCGACAAUAAUAUAAUGUUCAUUAACUGUUAAAUUUUAAAACAAAAUUAAUUGACUAAUAAUUAUACAUGAUCCUUUUUAAAGAUUAAAAGUUUAAGUUACUUUAGGGAUAACAGCGUUAUUUUUCUUGAGAGUCCCUAUCGAAAGAAAAGUUUGCGACCUCGAUGUUGAAUUAAAAUUUCUUUAUAAUUGCAGAAGUUAUAAAAGAGGGUCUGUUCGACCUUUAAAUUUUUACAUGAUUUGAGUUCAAACCGGCGUGAG
RNAcentral lists this ribosomal RNA (547 nucleotides) under Leptuca uruguayensis. RNAcentral describes it as "partial 16S rRNA". It matches the Rfam family "Bacterial large subunit ribosomal RNA", at positions 1831 to 2625 of the family's 2925-position model. The record is from RNAcentral. Lineage: Eukaryota; Metazoa; Arthropoda; Malacostraca; Decapoda; Ocypodidae.